RNAcentral lists this ribosomal RNA (407 nucleotides) under uncultured bacterium. RNAcentral describes it as "partial 16S ribosomal RNA". It matches the Rfam family "Bacterial small subunit ribosomal RNA", at positions 28 to 526 of the family's 1533-position model. The record is from RNAcentral.
GACGAACGCUGGCGGCGUGCCUAAUACAUGCAAGUAGAACGCAGUUGCGAACGGGUGAGUAACGCGUAGGUAACUGCCUGGUAGCGGGGGAUAACUAUUGGAAACGAUAGCUAAUACCGCAUACUACCAGAUGGACCUGCGUUGUAUUAGCUAGUUGGUGAGGUAACGGCGCACCAAGGCAACGAUACAUAGCCGGGCGGGGAAGGUGAUCGGCCACACUGGGAAUGGGACCAGGCCCAGACUCCUACGGGAGGCAGCAGUAGGGGAUCUUCGGCAAUGGGGGGAACCCUGACCGAGCAACGGCGCGUGAGUGAAGAAGGUUUUCGGGUCGUAAAGCUCUGUUGUUAAGGAAGCGGUACUUAACCAGAAAGGGACGGCUAACUACGUGCCAGCCGCCGCGGUAAUAC